This 253-nucleotide ribosomal RNA is filed under the name uncultured bacterium. RNAcentral describes it as "partial 16S ribosomal RNA". It matches the Rfam family "Bacterial small subunit ribosomal RNA", at positions 524 to 776 of the family's 1533-position model. The record is from RNAcentral.
UACGUAGGGGGCUAGCGUUGUCCGGAAUCAUUGGGCGUAAAGAGCGCGUAGGCGGCCAGAUAAGUCCGGUGUGAAAGUCAAAGGCUCAACCUUUGAAUGCCGCUGGAAACUGUCUGGCUAGAGUCCGGGAGGGGCGAGUGGAAUUCCUGGUGUAGCAGUGAAGUGCGCAGAUAUCAGGAGGAACACCAAUGGCGAAGGCAGCUCGCUGGAACGGUACUGACGCUGAGGCGCGAAAGCGUGGGGAGCAAACAGG